Molecule: ribosomal RNA, 408 nt
Filed under: uncultured bacterium
Lineage: Bacteria
Description: partial 16S ribosomal RNA
Rfam family: Bacterial small subunit ribosomal RNA
Source: RNAcentral
AGUGAACGCUGGCGGCGUGCCUAAUACAUGCAAGUCGAACGGAGUGGCGCACGGGUGAGUAAUGUAUAGCUAAUCUGCCCUACACUAGAGGACAACAGUUGGAAACGGCUGCUAAUACUCUAUAGUGUAGGAUGAGGCUAUAUUGUAUCAGCUAGUUGGUGAGGUAAUGGCUCACCAAGGCUAUGACGCAUAACUGGUCUGAGGGGGUGAUCCGUCAAACGGGAACUGCGACACGGUCCAGACGCCUACGGGAGGCAGCAGUAGGGAAUAUGGCUCAAUGGGGUAAACCCUGAAGCAGCAACGCCGCGUGGGGGAUGACACGUUUCGGAGCGUAAACUCCUUUUGUUAGGGAAGCGGUACCUAACGAAUAAGCACCGGCUAACUCCGUGCCAGCCGCCGCGGUAAUUC